RNAcentral lists this ribosomal RNA (1372 nucleotides) under uncultured bacterium. Its description in RNAcentral is "bacterial SSU rRNA". It matches the Rfam family "Bacterial small subunit ribosomal RNA", at positions 28 to 1381 of the family's 1533-position model. The record is from RNAcentral.
GAUGGACGCUGGCGGCGUGCCUAAUACAUGCAAGUCGAGCGAACGGACGAGAAGCUGGCUUCUCUGAUGUUAGCGGCGGACGGGUGAGUAACACGUGGAUAACCUACCUAUAAGACUGGGAUAACUUCGGGAAACCGGAGCUAAUACCGGAUAAUAUUUUGAACCGCAUGGUUCAAAAGUGAAAGACGGUCUUGCUGUCACUUAUAGAUGGAUCCGCGCUGCAUUAGCUAGUUGGUAAGGUAACGGCUUACCAAGGCAACGAUGCAUAGCCGACCUGAGAGGGUGAUCGGCCACACUGGAACUGAGACACGGUCCAGACUCCUACGGGAGGCAGCAGUAGGGAAUCUUCCGCAAUGGGCGAAAGCCUGACGGAGCAACGCCGCGUGAGUGAUGAAGGUCUUCGGAUCGUAAAACUCUGUUAUUAGGGAAGAACAUAUGUGUAAGUAACUGUGCACAUCUUGACGGUACCUAAUCAGAAAGCCACGGCUAACUACGUGCCAGCAGCCGCGGUAAUACGUAGGUGGCAAGCGUUAUCCGGAAUUAUUGGGCGUAAAGCGCGCGUAGGCGGUUUUUUAAGUCUGAUGUGAAAGCCCACGGCUCAACCGUGGAGGGUCAUUGGAAACUGGAAAACUUGAGUGCAGAAGAGGAAAGUGGAAUUCCAUGUGUAGCGGUGAAAUGCGCAGAGAUAUGGAGGAACACCAGUGGCGAAGGCGACUUUCUGGUCUGUAACUGACGCUGAUGUGCGAAAGCGUGGGGAUCAAACAGGAUUAGAUACCCUGGUAGUCCACGCCGUAAACGAUGAGUGCUAAGUGUUAGGGGGUUUCCGCCCCUUAGUGCUGCAGCUAACGCAUUAAGCACUCCGCCUGGGGAGUACGACCGCAAGGUUGAAACUCAAAGGAAUUGACGGGGACCCGCACAAGCGGUGGAGCAUGUGGUUUAAUUCGAAGCAACGCGAAGAACCUUACCAAAUCUUGACAUCCUUUGACAACUCUAGAGAUAGAGCCUUCCCCUUCGGGGGACAAAGUGACAGGUGGUGCAUGGUUGUCGUCAGCUCGUGUCGUGAGACGUUGGGUUAAGUCCCGCAACGAGCGCAACCCUUAAGCUUAGUUGCCAUCAUUAAGUUGGGCACUCUAAGUUGACUGCCGGUGACAAACCGGAGGAAGGUGGGGAUGACGUCAAAUCAUCAUGCCCCUUAUGAUUUGGGCUACACACGUGCUACAAUGGACAAUACAAAGGGCAGCGAAACCGCGAGGUCAAGCAAAUCCCAUAAAGUUGUUCUCAGUUCGGAUUGUAGUCUGCAACUCGACUACAUGAAGCUGGAAUCGCUAGUAAUCGUAGAUCAGCAUGCUACGGUGAAUACGUUCCCGGGUCU